GAUGAAGAACGUAGCGAAAUGCGAUAAGUAAUGUGAAUUGCAGAAUUCAGUGAAUCAUCGAAUCUUUGAACGCACAUUGCGCCCGCCAGAAUACUGGCGGGCAUGCCUGUUCGAGCGUCAUUACAACCCUCAGGCCCCCGGGCCUGGCGUUGGGGAUCGGCGGAGCCCCCCGUGGGCACACGCCGUCCCCCAAAUGCAGUGGCGGUCCCGCCGCAGCUUCCAUCGCGUAGUAGCUAACACCUCGCGACUGGAGAGCGGCGCGGCCACGCCGUAAAACACCCAACUCUUCUGAAGUUGACCUCGAAUCAGGUAGGAAUACCCGCUGAACUUAAGCAUAUCAAUAAGCGGAGGA
RNAcentral lists this unclassified non-coding RNA (352 nucleotides) under soil metagenome. RNAcentral's name for it is "partial contains 5.8S ribosomal RNA, internal transcribed spacer 2, and large subunit ribosomal RNA". The stretch from base 1 to 120 matches the Rfam family "5.8S ribosomal RNA", at positions 35 to 154 of the family's 154-position model. The record is from RNAcentral.